RNAcentral lists this ribosomal RNA (497 nucleotides) under uncultured bacterium. RNAcentral's name for it is "partial 16S ribosomal RNA". It matches the Rfam family "Bacterial small subunit ribosomal RNA", at positions 28 to 507 of the family's 1533-position model. The record is from RNAcentral.
GACGAACGCUGGCGGCGUGCCUAAUACAUGCAAGUUGAGCGCUGAAGGUUGGUUCUUGUACCAACUGGAUGAGCAGCGAACGGGUGAGUAACGCGUGGGGAAUCUGCCUUUGAGCGGGGGACCACAUUUGGAAACGAAUGCUAAUACCGCAUAAAAACUUUAAACACAAGUUUUAAGUUUGAAAGAUGCAAUUGCAUCACUCAAAGAUGAUCCCUCGUUGUAUUAGCUAGUUGGUGAGGUAAAGGCUCAACAAGGCGAUGAUACAUAGCCGACCUGAGAGGGUGAGCGGCCAAAUUGGGACUGGGACACGGCCCAAACUCCUACGGGAGGCAGCAGUAGGGAAUCUUCGGCAAUAGACGAAAGUCUGACCGAGCAACGCCGCGUGAGGGAAGAAGGUUGUCGGAUCGUAAAAGUCUGUUGGUAGGGAAGAAAGUGGGUGAGAGUGGAAAGCUCAUCAAGUGACGGUAACUACCCAGAAAGGGACGGCUAACUACGUG